This 58-nucleotide transfer RNA is filed under the name Xenopus laevis (African clawed frog). It matches the Rfam family "tRNA". Rfam says of the family: Transfer RNA (tRNA) molecules are approximately 80 nucleotides in length. Lineage: Eukaryota; Metazoa; Chordata; Amphibia; Anura; Pipidae. The record is from Rfam by way of RNAcentral.
GCAUUGGUGGUUCAGUGGUAGAAUUCUCGCCUGCCACGCGGGAGGCCCGGCCAAUGCA